This is a long non-coding RNA of Drosophila willistoni, 369 nucleotides long. RefSeq lists it as uncharacterized. The record is from RefSeq and is a predicted model, not a curated record. The transcript has 2 exons. NCBI's taxonomy places the organism in Eukaryota, Metazoa, Arthropoda, Insecta, Diptera, Drosophilidae.
GGAAAAUUAUUUUAGAUGUCAGCGUCGUUUAAUGGGGAGAUCUAAACUGUUUUCAUUUUUCAAAAUUGAGACGUUAACAUAAGGGAGAAACUUAUAUACAUAUGAAGCAUAACAUUCUCCGCUGAUCCAUUUAGUCCCCAUCAUUAUAUAGUUUUCCCAGAAAGGGUAAUGGAGCCUUAGCUUGAAAACCUCUGUGCCUUUAUAACUGAAGUUACAUGCUAAUUGUACCAACAAUAAAAGAAUGAUUAUACAUAAGUAUGAACAAGAAGCUGCUAUAACAUCAGUCGAAAUAGUUCUGCGUUUUAGUAGGACUUUAAGCGCACUUAAAAGAAACUGUGAAAUGAGAUUAAAUAUUUAAACCUAACCAAA